Molecule: ribosomal RNA, 350 nt
Filed under: uncultured Acidobacteriota bacterium
Lineage: Bacteria; Pseudomonadati; Acidobacteriota
Description: bacterial SSU rRNA
Rfam family: Bacterial small subunit ribosomal RNA
Source: RNAcentral
ACACGUGAACAAUCUACCCUUGAGAGGGGAAUAACCCCGCGAAAGCGGGGCUAAUACCGCAUAACAUCCCUAGGUCGCAUGGCUUGGGGAUCAAAGGCUCCGGUCACUCAAGGAGGAGUUCGCGGCUGAUUAGCUAGUUGGUGAGGUAACGGCCCACCAAGGCGACGAUCAGUAGCCGGCCUGAGAGGGCGUACGGCCACACUGGAACUGAGACACGGUCCAGACUCCUACGGGAGGCAGCAGUGGGGAAUUUUGCGCAAUGGGCGAAAGCCUGACGCAGCAACGCCGCGUGGAGGAUGAAGGCCUUCCGGUCGUAAAUCCUGUCAGGGGGGGACCAAAGGCCGGGCCAC